AAGACGGAGGGUGCUAGCGUUGUUCGGAAUCACUGGGCGUAAAGGGCGCGUAGGCGGCUGUGGCAGUCGGGUGUGAAAGCCCGGAGCUCAACUCCGGAACGGCACUCGAGACGCCAUGGCUGGAGGCCGGAAGAGGAGGGUGGAAUACCCAGUGUAGAGGUGAAAUUCGUAGAUAUUGGGUGGAACACCGGUGGCGAAAGCGGCUCUCUGGUCCGGACCUGACGCUGAGGCGCGAAAGCGUGGGGAGCAAACAG
RNAcentral lists this ribosomal RNA (254 nucleotides) under uncultured prokaryote. RNAcentral's name for it is "partial 16S ribosomal RNA". It matches the Rfam family "Bacterial small subunit ribosomal RNA", at positions 522 to 775 of the family's 1533-position model. The record is from RNAcentral.